RNAcentral lists this ribosomal RNA (253 nucleotides) under uncultured bacterium. Its description in RNAcentral is "partial 16S ribosomal RNA". It matches the Rfam family "Bacterial small subunit ribosomal RNA", at positions 524 to 776 of the family's 1533-position model. The record is from RNAcentral.
UACGUAGGGUGCAAGCGUUGUCCGGAAUUAUUGGGCGUAAAGAGCUCGUAGGCGGUCUGUCGCGUCGGAUGUGAAAACUCGGGGCUCAACCCCGGGCCUGCAUUCGAUACGGGCAGACUAGAGUACGGCAGGGGAGACUGGAAUUCCUGGUGUAGCGGUGAAAUGCGCAGAUAUCAGGAGGAACACCGGUGGCGAAGGCGGAUCUCUGGGCCUUACCUGACGCUCAGGUGCGAAAGCUAGGGGAGCGAACAGG